This 459-nucleotide ribosomal RNA is filed under the name uncultured bacterium. RNAcentral's name for it is "partial 16S ribosomal RNA". It matches the Rfam family "Bacterial small subunit ribosomal RNA", at positions 338 to 795 of the family's 1533-position model. The record is from RNAcentral.
CCUACGGGAGACAGCAGUGAGGAAUAUUGGUCAAUGGACGAGAGUCUGAACCAGCCAAGUAGCGUGAAGGAUGACUGCCCUAUGGGUUGUAAACUUCUUUUAUAUGGGAAUAAAAUGUUCCACGUGUGGGAUUUUGUAUGUACCAUAUGAAUAAGGAUCGGCUAACUCCGUGCCAGCAGCCGCGGUAAUACGGAGGAUCCGAGCGUUAUCCGGAUUUAUUGGGUUUAAAGGGUGCGUAGGCGGAUCGUUAAGUCAGUGGUCAAAUUGAGGGGCUCAACCCCUUCCCGCCAUUGAAACUGGCGCUCUUGAGUGGAAGAGAAGUAUGCGGAAUGCGUGGUGUAGCGGUGAAAUGCUUAGAUAUCACGAAGAACUCCGAUUGCGAAGGCAGUUCACUGGACUGCAACUGACACUGAGGCUCGAAAGUGUGGGUAUCAAACAGGAUUAGAUACCCGAGUAGUC